UACAGGGGGUGCAAACGUUGCUCGGAAUUAUUGGGCGUAAAGCGCGCGUAGGCGGUCUUUUAAGUCGGAUGUGAAAGCCCUUGGCUCAACUGAGGAAGUGCAUCCGAAACUGAAAGGCUUGAGUACGAAAGAGGAUCGCGGAAUUCCCGGUGUAGAGGUGAAAUUCGUAGAUAUCGGGAGGAACACCGGCGGCGAAGGCGGCGAUCUGGGUCGAGACUGACGCUGAGGCGCGAAAGCGUGGGGAUCAAACAGG
Molecule: ribosomal RNA, 253 nt
Filed under: uncultured bacterium
Lineage: Bacteria
Description: partial 16S ribosomal RNA
Rfam family: Bacterial small subunit ribosomal RNA
Source: RNAcentral